AAACCGGAGGAAGGUGGGGAAUGACGUCAAGUCCUCCAUGGCCCUUAUGACCAGGGCUACACACGUGCUACAAUGGACCGGUACAAAGAGUUGCGAUACCGCGAGGUGGAGCUAAUCUCAUAAAGCCCGGUCUCAGUUCGGAUUGGAGUCUGCAACUCGACUCCAUGAAGUUGGAAUCGCUAGUAAUCGCGGAUCAGCACGCCGCGGUGAAUACGUUCCCGGGCCUU
RNAcentral lists this ribosomal RNA (227 nucleotides) under uncultured Geobacter sp. RNAcentral's name for it is "partial 16S ribosomal RNA". It matches the Rfam family "Bacterial small subunit ribosomal RNA", at positions 1160 to 1382 of the family's 1533-position model. Lineage: Bacteria; Pseudomonadati; Thermodesulfobacteriota; Desulfuromonadia; Geobacterales; Geobacteraceae. The record is from RNAcentral.